RNAcentral lists this ribosomal RNA (490 nucleotides) under uncultured bacterium. RNAcentral describes it as "partial 16S ribosomal RNA". It matches the Rfam family "Bacterial small subunit ribosomal RNA", at positions 30 to 507 of the family's 1533-position model. The record is from RNAcentral.
AUUGAACGCUGGCGGCAGGCCUAACACAUGCAAGUCGAACGGUAACAGGAAACAGCUUGCUGUUUCGCUGACGAGUGGCGGACGGGUGAGUAAUGUCUGGGAAACUGCCUGAUGGAGGGGGAUAACUACUGGAAACGGUAGCUAAUACCGCAUAACGUCGCAAGACCAAAGAGGGGGACCUUCGGGCCUCUUGCCAUCGGAUGUGACCAGAUGGGAUUAGCUAGUAGGUGGGGUAACGGCUCACCUAGGCGACGAUCCCUAGCUGGUCUGAGAGGAUGACCAGCCACACUGGAACUGAGACACGGUCCAGACUCCUACGGGAGGCAGCAGUGGGGAAUAUUGCACAAUGGGCGCAAGCCUGAUGCAGCCAUGCCGCGUGUAUGAAGAAGGCCUUCGGGUUGUAAAGUACUUUUAGCGGGGAGGAAGGGAAUAAAGUUAAUACCUUGACUCAUUGACGUUACCCGCAGAAGAAGCACCGGCUAACUCCGUG